This is a long non-coding RNA of Canis lupus familiaris (dog), 4066 nucleotides long. RefSeq lists it as uncharacterized. Lineage: Eukaryota; Metazoa; Chordata; Mammalia; Carnivora; Canidae. The transcript is spliced from 4 exons. The record is from RefSeq and is a predicted model, not a curated record.
GGUUGGGUGUGAUUAGCAGCAUCCAAAGGGCCCCUGAGAAGUCCUAGUCCCCUGGUAUUCAUGUUUCUAGGGAAGGAACUUCUUUCUCUUGAAUGUGGCUUGGACUUGAUGACCAACUUCUUAAAAAUAAGGAAGCAGCCGACAUGUGACCAGCCAUAUGGAGAGAUGCACAAUAGCCAAGACCUGAUGUCCCCAGCCAAUAGACAGAUUGGACUCAAGGCCUGCCAACAGCCACGGAAGUAUGCUUGGAAUGGAAUCUUCCCCUUCUGAGAACCUUGAGAUGCAGCCUGACAAACAGCUCCAUCAUUCAACCUUGUGCAAGACCUGAGCCACAGGCAUCCAGCUAAACCAUACCCAGAUUCCUGAGGAAUUUGUGAGAUAAUAAAUGCUGUUUUGAGGAACCACAGAAGACUGCUCUGUCCAGAAGCAUAAGUAACAAGCCAGAAAAGUCAGAAAAAUUAACAAUUCCUAGGACCAGUGCUCAACCCAUAACUCUCUGGAGUGAAUGUAAUUCCAAGGAUUCAACUGUCCCUGUGUUCCUGAUUACAAUUCCACGAAAAUCUCAUCAUUCUGACUGCAAUCUGUGAUAAUAAUAACAACUGCUAUUUACUGAAUGCUUUUUGUGGGCAAGAAACUGUGUUAAGUGACUUACUGUUUUUCUUAAUUAUGCUGCAAGAGUCAUCCCUCCACCCCCACCCCACAACAUGGCAGUCUGCUCUUGUGGUCUGAGGGGUGUUUGACAGCAUGUAAGUGAGAGGAAUUCAGUGAACUUAAAGGCUCUUGGGAAGCCCCAGUGACAAAUAUGUAAAUAGACAUAGAGUGACUCCUUAAUUGUACAUCCAGAGCUCAUGGUACUCUAGCUUUAAUCUGUCCACCAAAGCUAAAAAUCUCACACUGUCAAAUAUAGAUCUUCUUCUCCUCCUUGUUCUUCACAAAUUUCACCAUCCAUGCCUCCACUCAUAUUCUUAUUCCUUUCCAAUCACCUUACUGCUUUUGCCCAUUUUUCUAUAUCCUGCUCAUUUUUCAAAGCUUGCUUUAAGAUAUCAUAUCUGAACAUCAUUCUCUGAUAGCCCAUUACUGAGAGAAAUUUCCUGGAAUUUCUCUGGAUUUAGGAGGUAUAACUUGCAAAAAUAACUUCGUAUUUACUGUGAGUCCAAGUUUGGGUCUAAGUGUGAGGUCUGAGAACUUGUGUCAAUAUCAUUUGCGUAAGAUUUUUUGGUCGCCUAUGUCAACAUGACUUAGAAAUUUUUUCCAGGAAAAUUUUGCCUGGGAAAGAUAAAGCUGUAAACUAAUAAAUAACUUCAAUGUUUGCUUAAAGAAAUUCCUACAGAUCAAUUUAUCACGGACAACAGUCUCCUCACCUCAGCAAACAGCUUGCUUAGCAAACAAAAAGGUGCCUAUCAACACAUGCUUCAAGGGUUGCCUGAUUGACAACCAGUUAUGAAAUAUUAUAGCAUAAAUUGUGUCCAGUUCUAGCCAGUUACCCACCUUGCAAGGCCCAGCUUAUACCACUUGAGCCCGGACCCCAGACCCAAGAGCCUCAGAGUGCUACAAAUAUCCUACUUCUGACUUUCCCUUCUGAGUUGCUUCUGAAAUCCUACCAAGGAGUUCUCUCCAACUACAAUAAAUUCAAAUAAGCUUAGUUUUGCUUUAUUAGCAGAUUUGUGAUGAUAUUUUGAGGAAGGCAACACUGGAAUUGUACGUAUUGGAGUAUAUAUGACAAACUGAGAAGGGCUGUAUACCAGAAGCCCACGUGAAUGAAGACCAAGAAACUUUUCCUUAGAAUUUAUAAAGAAAGAAGGAGUUUUGAAUGACAUAUAAACACAGUAAUGAAUUCUUCAUCAGUGGAGAAGAAUAAGUCCAACUCUCUGAGAUGAUUCCCCCAGCCCAUGAGAAUCAUUCCCCAGCCUUUGUCCCAGGAGAGAAGAAUACUUUUAGAUGAUAUGAGGAUGUGCAAAUAGAACAAAAGAGGUUGAAAAAUAGCACUGUUCCAGAGAUCCAUACAUAUCCUCUCCUCAUUCAAAAAUGUGAAAUGAAAAAUAUUUUCUUGCUGCAUCUCGGGUGGAUCCGGGAUAGACCUACUAAAACGUAUGGAGGCAGCCAGCUUCAGAAGAGAAGGGAUAAAAACUGUUUCCCAUGGCACAAGAGGUGGCCCUGAUGGGGGGACCUGAGAAGGCCUCGUGGACAGUGCAGAGGGGUGAUCUGCGGGUGCUGGCAGCUGGAGACUGAUGGGAAAAGCCACAUCUCCAUGGGCAUCAGAGUAGAUGACAACCUCAGGCCAAAUAUCCCCUUCUCAAAACUGUCACUGCUGUGCACACAUGUACCCUAUAGAAAGGAGUUGCAAAGCUCAGUAAAAAAGAAAAAAAAGGGGGGGGGAGUGAGUGGAACCGAACACUUAACCGUGACUACACUGAAUUGACUAAAUUUAAGUUUCUGUUACUAGGUGCCAUGGGAGUCAAUUGGACAUUGAUUUCCACUAUAGAAUAUUAAAACUACCGAAAAAUAACUUUACAUUUCUUGUAAACUUAAAUGUAUGGCUUUGAAUUUAGUACCUAUAGAAGAAGGAAGGAAAAAAAAAACAUGACUGAAGGGCUGCUUAUUCAAAGCUCUGUCAGCAGGUCAGUUUGAGAAAUUCUCAAGUGGACUAUAAUCCUUGUGCAUCUGCAGGGAAAUGUCAUCCAACUGGGGCAUCUGUAGGUGUCCAGCCCUGCCACUAUGCUGGGCAGCUGCCUGUGGAAGUCUCCCAGUAACUGAGAGUGGGUGGAAGAUGUUUAACAGAGGUGGAAUUGUUUGUGAGCUCAUAGAAGACAAGAGAAGACAGCCUUGGAAGACACUCAGAGUGGAUAGAAAAGGGGAGAGGUGGAAUUUGGAGUCACUCUAUGAAUCACUAAAGGCAUAAGCCAGAUCUGUCUGCUUACUAUCACUGUGACCCUUGUCCAAUCUAAAAAUGUGAAGCUUGGGGAAAUCUGAGUUAAUAGUAUGUCUUCUCUGAAAAUUGUGAUAGCCAUACAGUGGAGUUCUACUCAGGAAGAGAAAACGAAAAAGUUGGGAUGCCGGAGUGGCUCAGUGGUUGAGCAUCUGCCUUCGGCUCAGGGGGUGGUCCUGGGGUCCUAGGGUUGAGUCCCGCAUGGGGCUCCCAGCAGGGAGUCGUCUUCUCCCUCUGCCUAUGUCUCUGCGUCUCUCUCUGUGUCUCUCAUGAAUAGAUAAAUAAAAUCUUAAAAAAGGGGAGAAAGUUAUUAAAAUGUGAAAUAGCAUGGCUGGAUUUCAAAAUUCUAUCCUGAGUGAAAGAAGCUAGACUGUCUCCCCCUAUCCCACAAAAAAGAGAAGACUGUAUGAGUCUAUCUAUAUAAAAUCCUUAAACAUGCAAACUAAUCUAUAUAAAUUCCAGAGAAUGCAAAUGAAGUAGAUUCUUGACUGCCUAGGGGGAAUGAAGGGAGGGAUAGAUUACAAAGAGCAUGAGGAAAGCUUUAGGGGUGACACAUAUGUAUAUACCUGGGAAUAUAUGUAUCACAUAUAUGUGAUAUAUGUGUCAAAAUGUAUCAAAUUUUACACAUUAGACAUUUGUAAUUUGUUAUGCACUUUCAUCAUCAAUAAAGUUCUUUAAAAUUUAUGUUUUUGCACUUCGAUUGUCCUUAGAGCUCAGUACCCAUUUACUAUUUUUUACUGUUUAUGUACUCCCAUCGUAUGUGGCCCCUGAGACAAAGAUUUGGUGUGAUAUUUGAACCCUUACUAUGUUAAAAGAAGAAUUAUGGGUGUUGCUUCAGAAGGUCUUUGUUUAUUGAUCAGAUAAAAAACUGGAAGUAGUCUUUCAAUUUUGAUUCUGUCUACUUAAAGAAAAGAAAGAUAGCAAUAAUAACAGACAAUAAGUUGAAGGCUUGGCAUGAGUAACCAGGAGGGCAAUCCUGCCCAACGAGGUGAAGAGGUGGGGAAGCAGGCACAUAGCAUACCCGGAAAGGCUUCGAUGGGGACCUUCUGGUCUGGGGAAUGUUUAGGACAAGGUUAUGCUGAAAGGGCAAAUGUCAAGAGAACACUUCUUAAAAUAAAUAUUCAAAUCUCAGGCAUUGUU